This 371-nucleotide long non-coding RNA is filed under the name Nicotiana benthamiana. Its description in RNAcentral is "long non-coding RNA (NBEN_LNC024539)". The record is from RNAcentral. Lineage: Eukaryota; Viridiplantae; Streptophyta; Magnoliopsida; Solanales; Solanaceae.
ACAAAAUCCAAUACACAAAUCAUCUAUGAAUAAGCCUGCCAGUCCUCACCCAACCCCGGGUGUGGAGUAUGAAAAACUCUAGGGGCCCCUAUCCCACAACCUUGAUACUAGACCUCCAUACUUUCCUAUCCAGGGUCAUGUCCUCAGAAACCCGCAUCCUAGCCAUGUCGUGGCUAAUCACCUCUCCCCAAUACCUCUUAGGCCUUCCUCUGCCUCGCCGUACGCCGACCAUCGGCAGCCGCUCACAACUCCUCACCGGAGCGUCAGGACAUCUCCUCCGCACAUGCCCGAACCACCUCAGCCUCGCUUCUCGCAUCUUCUCAUCCACCGGGGCCACCCCCACCUUCUCUCGAAUAACUUCAUUCUUANNN